This is a long non-coding RNA of Dasypus novemcinctus (nine-banded armadillo), 942 nucleotides long. The record is from Ensembl. NCBI's taxonomy places the organism in Eukaryota, Metazoa, Chordata, Mammalia, Cingulata, Dasypodidae.
GACUUCCUGGGCCCAGCCUCGGCCUGGAGGACGGGAGAGGCGCGGGCCGGAGGCAGAAAUGCCAGGAAAGGCUCCGGCAGCCGCGAGGCCGCGUUCCUGCAGAGAAGGCCUGGCUGAGUCUGAGGAUGAAGGACCCCAGACCAAACAAAGCGAGGGCCGGGCCGAAGGUCCCCGUGAGGAAGACAGCGCUCAGGAGAGGUUCGGGGCUGAGGGGCUGAAGCUUCCCGGCACCCAAACGUGGUUAUCUGGUCCUAGGCUGGAUCCUGAGCUGCAGGGGUCUCCCGAAGGGAGACUGAGAUUGACAAACCCGGACUCCUGCAAGACUGGAGAAGCCCUGAGGCAGGUCGAGCUCACCAGGCGGAGCACUGGACCCUGGGUGUGGAAAAGAAUGUCCUCUCCUUAGGAAACACACACUGAGAUAGCCCCGAGGGGCAAAGGGUGGUGAUGUACGCGCCUUACCUUCUGGUGAUUCAGGAAGAAAAUACAUGGUGGAAAACAUUGUAAAACACUUAAUAGUAACAAUCAGUGAAUCUGGACACAGGAUAUCCUGGACUUUUUAUACUGUUAUUGGGAUGUUCCUGUAAGUAUGAAAUUAUUUCCAAAUAAGAUUUUUUUUUUCAAUCAACAAAUGGGGGUGGAGGUGUUUCUAAAAGGGCAACACAAGGGAUUGUUGUCUUAGAACUAAAUAACUUGGCUAUGGUGGUGGACACACAACUUGCACAGGUGAUUAAAUUGUACAGAACUUCCACAAAUGAGUGUAGGUACAACUGGGGAAAGCUGAAUAAAAUAGGUGGCUUGUAUCAAUGUCAACAGAAUUAGCUCUCAUAGUAGGCUUUGUACACUUUUGUCAUUUGGGGAAACUGGGCAGUGUAUAUUCUUACAACUUAAACUGAAUCUACAAUUAUCUCAAUAAAAUUUCAUUUAACAAAAUCAUCCAGUGUA